Molecule: long non-coding RNA, 450 nt
Organism: Cornus florida
Lineage: Eukaryota; Viridiplantae; Streptophyta; Magnoliopsida; Cornales; Cornaceae
Exons: 2
Source: RefSeq, a predicted model, not a curated record
GAUACGACACGACACGGACAUAGCGACACGGCAAAUCCAAAAAAAUUAGAACACGGACACAGCGAAUAGUAUAUAUAUAUAUAUAUAUAUAUAUAUAUAUAUAUAUAUAUCAGCAUUAAUAAUUUUAAAAAAAAAAACACUGAUAUGUUUAGGUUGGAAUAUAUAUAUAUAUCACUGAUAUGUUAGUAUAUAUAUAUAUCAACAUCUUUAGGACACGGACACGGCGAAUUGUGGCAUCUUUAGGUUAGUAUAUAUAUAUAUCACCAUCUUUAGGGUAGUACAAAACAAAAAAUAGAACAUAUCAGCAUUAAAAAUUUAAAAAAAAAAAAAAAAAGAAAUCCAGAAAAGUGUGUCCGAGCCAUGUCUGAGCCGUGUCCGAGCUGUCCGAGCCGUGUCCGAACUGUCUGAGCCGUGUCUGUGCCGUGUCCAAGCCGUGUCCGAGCCGUGUCC